UGGGGAAUAUUGGACAAUGGGCGCAAGCCUGAUCCAGCAAUGCCGCGUGGAUGAAGAAGGUCUUCGGAUUGUAAAGUCCUUUCGGCGGGGACGAUGAUGACGGUACCCGCAGAAGAAGCCCCGGCUAACUUCGUGCCAGCAGCCGCGGUAAUACGAAGGGGGCUAGCGUUGCUCGGAAUGACUGGGCGUAAAGGGCGCGUAGGCGGACCGCACAGUCAGACGUGAAAUUCCCGGGCUCAACCUGGGGACUGCGUUUGAGACGUGUGAUCUAGAGUGGGGAAGAGGGUCGUGGAAUUCCCAGUGUAGAGGUGAAAUUCGUAGAUAUUGGGAAGAACACCGGUGGCGAAGGCGGCGACCUGGUCCUUGACUGACGCUGAGGCGCGAAAGCGUGGGGAGCAAAC
This 401-nucleotide ribosomal RNA is filed under the name uncultured bacterium. RNAcentral describes it as "bacterial SSU rRNA". It matches the Rfam family "Bacterial small subunit ribosomal RNA", at positions 355 to 773 of the family's 1533-position model. The record is from RNAcentral.